Molecule: long non-coding RNA, 712 nt
Organism: Homo sapiens (human)
Lineage: Eukaryota; Metazoa; Chordata; Mammalia; Primates; Hominidae
Source: Ensembl
GUGCCCCGCGCGCGGCCUUUCACGCCGGGAUCCGGGUCCCGGUGCUUCUCGGUUCAUUCCCAGCUGGGUCCGGGCCCGGCCAGACUGGGUGGAAAUCUGGCUGACCUUGGUGGUCUGUCUUGGCCAGCUGGAGCAAAGGGAUGCCAGGGGACGGGUCUCGGUGCAGUGACUGCCAUUAGCUUGGGGCCGCAGAAAGUUUCUCCCCUUUCUCGGGCUCCUGCCAGGCCCUUGGCUUUCAGAGCCAGGCCCGAUUUCUAGAUAACAUUUAAGUUUGCAGAAAAGGGGAUGCCAAGUCACGGUGGUCACGGCUGUGGGAUGCAGCCUCUGAGAUUUGUAUUAAUUUUUGUGAGCCGGGGAAAGGCCUUGCUGCUUUCUCCGCCAGGACUGAUGUGUCUUCCCAAGAUGAAAGUGCCUGGUAAGGGCGAGGGGCCUCCCUGGGAAGGUCAUGAGCAUGUAAGGUAAUGGGGCCUAGACUGUGACUUUUGGCACGUUUAUGAGUGACAUCCCCCGGGAGGGCAAGGAUAACCAUUUGACCUGGUCUGUCAUAUUCAGGAAUAGACUUCAGUUUAGUUGUGGUAUUUUCUCCAAAAGAGAUUUGUGUAUAUAGCCCUAGAUAGUCUUGUCAAGAUUAAACCCAAUUUAAACUGUUAACUAUAAAAUAUUUUAGAAUUUUGUCUCAUUCUAGAAUGGCUUUAUUCGAAACAAAAAAAAA